RNAcentral lists this non-coding RNA (178 nucleotides) under Bacillota bacterium. RNAcentral describes it as "6S RNA". It matches the Rfam family "6S / SsrS RNA". Rfam says of the family: E. coli 6S RNA was the first non coding RNA to be sequenced, but its function was unknown until recently. It consists of 184 nucleotides that fold into an extended hairpin structure with a large single-stranded internal bulge. The record is from RNAcentral. Lineage: Bacteria; Bacillati; Bacillota.
CAACUUCUGGGAUAUGCGACGGUCUGCUUUUUGAACCUACAGUUGGAAGCAGGGAGAUCUAGAUUAAACGAUGGAUACCAAGCCUCGCCAAGACAGAGGAAGGUAGAAGUGUUUAUGCGAUCACCCACCUAUCGAAGGAUAGGUGUCAAAAAACAGACUACGGUAUUCUGGUUGCUGC